This 251-nucleotide ribosomal RNA is filed under the name uncultured prokaryote. Its description in RNAcentral is "partial 16S ribosomal RNA". It matches the Rfam family "Bacterial small subunit ribosomal RNA", at positions 525 to 775 of the family's 1533-position model. The record is from RNAcentral.
ACGUAGGCAGCAAGCGUUGUUCGGAAUUACUGGGCGUAAAGAGUGCGUAGGCGGUUCGUCAAGUCUGGUGUGAAAUCUCCCGGCUCAACUGGGAGGGUGCGCCGGAAACUGGCGGACUAGAGUGUGGGAGAGGAAAGUGGAAUUCCUGGUGUAGCGGUGAAAUGCGUAGAUAUCAGGAGGAACACCGGAGGUGAAGACGGCUUUCUGGACCAUAACUGACGCUGAGGCACGAAAGCGUGGGGAGCAAACAG